UGGCCUAUAUGACUUUUGAUAGUGGUUAUGAUAUUAUGCUAUUCAUUUAUGACUUUCUGUAUCGUUAUUAUUACUUUUCAUUGUAUAAAUCAGGAAAAAUAAUUCUAUUUAAACAUACCAUUUAAUGGUAUAUCCUACAAUUAGGAAGAAUAGGUCAUGGUUACUAUUCAUGCAGUUGUAUUGAGCAUCAAGAUGUUAAUG
Molecule: long non-coding RNA, 201 nt
Filed under: Elaeis guineensis (African oil palm)
Lineage: Eukaryota; Viridiplantae; Streptophyta; Magnoliopsida; Arecales; Arecaceae
Description: long non-coding RNA (EGUI_LNC050331)
Source: RNAcentral